GCUUAACUGUUUUAAUGGCUGCAUAGCCCUCAGCCUUGCAUCUCCUAACGCAGGAGAUACUAAUUAUUAGGGUAUAAUUCACACUGUGUGAGUUCUUAUUGCCCAUCUUUCGUGUAGGAUACAGAUAGUUGGGAACAUAUAGUGCCUGUGAAUGACCAGUAUGCUCACUCCAAUAACAUCAGGCAAGCAAUUCCACAUAACACAGAAGAAGCAUAGCAUAAUGGGUACAAGAAUACUUCUGAAACCAGAUUGACAGUGGAUAAAUCCUGGCUCUACCACUGACUGGCUAUGUGGCAAGUUACUCAUCCUUUCUGGGACUUGGUUUCCUAAUUUAAAAUGGGGAUAAUAAUAAUGCCCUAUAGGAUUGUUGAGAGGAAUAAGUGACUUAAUUAAGAGCUCAGCACACUGCCUGUCCCAUAGUAAACACUAUAACAAUGUUCAUCAUUGUCAAGACAAUAAUAAUAAUUAUUAUUGCUAAAUUGAAUUGGGUGUAGCGUCCCUGACUCUCCAGCUCUUUCUUGAUGGCCAGUACAAAGGUUCACACAUAAAAGCCUUCACUAAUUAACUAAUAAAGCCAUAUUUUGUUAUAUAAAUAUGAACAACAACAGCUCAUUUAUUGUGCUGCCAUUGCAUAGCUGGUACUGUUCUAGGUGCUUUCCAAAGUCAUUGGGUAUCUAUUAAGUGCCUUCUAGUGACUGAGAUAUUGGGGAUAUAACAGUGAACAAGAAGGCUUGGUUCCCAUCUAGGAAGUAGGUAUUAUUAGCAUUCUUUUGCAGGUGAGGAAAUUAAGUCUCUGUGUAUUUUUAAAACUUACUUAUUGCCACGCUGUUAGUAAGUGGCAGCUUCCCAAAGAGCUGUCUGACUCCAAAGCCUGUGUUCUACCCACUACAUUUUGCUUUCUCCCUUGGUAUAAAAUCUAGAGUCUUUGAGACUCAAUAAUGGAAGCCA
Molecule: long non-coding RNA, 948 nt
Filed under: Papio anubis (olive baboon)
Lineage: Eukaryota; Metazoa; Chordata; Mammalia; Primates; Cercopithecidae
Description: lncRNA (ENSPANG00000041470.1)
Source: RNAcentral